GUGCUCUCUUUGCCAGCACAUCUACUAGAAUUGAAGUGAUUCAGAGAAUAGCAUGCUCCCUGAGCAAGGAUGACAAUUAAAUUUAUGAGAUGUUCCCUCUCUCU
Small nuclear RNA from Cricetulus griseus (Chinese hamster), 104 nucleotides. The record is from Ensembl. Lineage: Eukaryota; Metazoa; Chordata; Mammalia; Rodentia; Cricetidae.